This 434-nucleotide ribosomal RNA is filed under the name uncultured bacterium. Its description in RNAcentral is "bacterial SSU rRNA". It matches the Rfam family "Bacterial small subunit ribosomal RNA", at positions 958 to 1392 of the family's 1533-position model. The record is from RNAcentral.
AACGCGAAGAACCUUACCUACUCUUGACAUCCAGAGAACUUUCCAGAGAUGGAUUGGUGCCUUCGGGAACUCUGAGACAGGUGCUGCAUGGCUGUCGUCAGCUCGUGUUGUGAAAUGUUGGGUUAAGUCCCGCAACGAGCGCAACCCUUAUCCUUUGUUGCCAGCGGUCCGGCCGGGAACUCAAAGGAGACUGCCAGUGAUAAACUGGAGGAAGGUGGGGAUGACGUCAAGUCAUCAUGGCCCUUACGAGUAGGGCUACACACGUGCUACAAUGGCGCAUACAAAGAGAAGCGACCUCGCGAGAGCAAGCGGACCUCAUAAAGUGCGUCGUAGUCCGGAUUGGAGUCUGCAACUCGACUCCAUGAAGUCGGAAUCGCUAGUAAUCGUGGAUCAGAAUGCCACGGUGAAUACGUUCCCGGGCCUUGUACACACCG